GAGAGUGGGUAGUCCGCACGAGCGCACCCUCACUUUUAGUUGCCAUCAUUAAGUUGGGCACUCUGAAAGAACUGCCAGUGAUAAGCUGGAGGAAGGUGGGGAUGACGUCAAGUCCUCAUGGCCCUUACGUGUUGGGCUACACACGUGCUACAAUGGCAUCUACAACAGGAAGCAAAACGGCAACGUUAAGCAAAUCCCGAAAAGAUGCCUCAGUUCGGAUUGCACUCUGCAACUCGAGUGCAUGAAGCCGGAAUUACUAGUAAUCGUGGAUCAGCGUGCCACGGUGAAUGCGUUCCCGGGUCUUGUACACACCGCCCGUCACACCAUGGGAGUUGGUUCUACCUUAAGGCAAGGUUUUAAACCCUUGACCACGGUAUAGUCAGCAACUGGGGUGAAGUCGUAACAAGGUAGCCGUAGGGGAACCUGCGGCUGGAUUACCUCCUUUCU
This 447-nucleotide ribosomal RNA is filed under the name uncultured Pelagibacterales bacterium. Its description in RNAcentral is "bacterial SSU rRNA". It matches the Rfam family "Bacterial small subunit ribosomal RNA", at positions 1072 to 1533 of the family's 1533-position model. Lineage: Bacteria; Pseudomonadati; Pseudomonadota; Alphaproteobacteria; Candidatus Pelagibacterales. The record is from RNAcentral.